UCUCUGUCUCUCUCUCUCUCUCUCUCUCUCUCUCUCUCUCUCUGUCUCUCUCUCUCUCUCUCUCUCUCUCUGUCUCUGUCUCUCCUCUCUCUCUCUCUCUGUCUCUCUCUCUCUCUCUGUCUCUCUCUCUCUCUGUCUCUCUCUCUCUCUCUCUCUCUGUCUCUCUCUCUCAGUGGUGGGAUCCACUCCUGUUCUCUCUUUAACUGGAGCAGGAGGAGGACAGAUAAACGUUAGCUGUCAGUCACAUGGGUGGCUUCCUGAGCCGUCAAUCACCUGGACAGAUAAAGAGGGGAGAGAUCUGAAACAUCUGAGCAAAGACAAGUUCAGCAACAGUUCUGAAGGGGUUGUGGAUGUGUCCUCGUGGCUGAUUGUGUCUCCCUCGGAGUCUGAGUGGAUCUCCUGCUCUGUGGGUUUGUCUGAUCAGGAGAGAAAAGAAGGCAGAAUAAUGUUAUUCGUCCCUGCAGGUGUCACGGAGUCGUGGAGUGGAUACUUCAUUGUGAUUCCCAUCCUUCUUCUUCUUCUUCUUCUUCUGCUGUGUGCUGCCGGAAUUACAGUGUAUCGUAAAAAAGGUCUGAUUUUUCUCCAAGAGAAAAGGGACAGAAUAUACAGAAGGAACUCCAUCAGAAACUGCACCUCUGAGUAACAUCUGUAUGGAGAGUCAGGAUCAGAAUGAUGCUCCAUCUAUAAUUCCUCAUUCUGUGGUUGUAGAUAUAGAUCAACCUUCUGAGCAAAGGGAAAAAACGCCACCAGCUCCAUGUCCAGAUCUCAAUCAGCAGAAAUCAUCUGAACAGCAGAAUCCUGAAGAAGUGAAAGAAACCCCACACGUUGCAGAAUCCAGAGAAGAGGACCCAGGAUCCUGCUCCUCCUCACCAGGGUUCUCCACUGCUGGUUCAACCACUGAUAAACCAAACUUCACUCCCACCACCUCAAAUCCCACACCUGCUGCUACCAUCUCAGAGUCUGCCACUGUCUCCACAACAUCUGCAGGAAGUUUCAGCUCAGCCAAUAAACAUCCUACCAAAAAUGCUGAAAGAAAAAGAAAAAACACCAAAGGGAGAAAGAACAAAGACAGAGCAAAUGAAACAGAAAGCUCUUUUAACAAAGCUAAAGCAAGAGAAAUCAGUACCAGGACAUUUAACAUGGAAAGCAAAGCAGACUGCUCUGAGUCCAAGCAUCUCUGUAAGCAAGAAGCAGUAGAGAGUGAAGAUUUGGUCCAAGUGAAAAAAUUCAAAGUGAACAUCACCAUCGACGGAGAGGAAACUCCAGAGUUCCUGACACACGAGGAAAGGAGGUGAAGUGCUCCACUCCAGUGAAUACAUGGGACAGAAAUCCUGAUGAUGAUAAAAUCUUCACUCUGUGUAAAGAGAAGUUUCACUGUGGUAAACGUUAUUGGGAGGUGAAAGUGAGAGCGUCACAUAAAGAAGAGAAACUGUCCUGGUUCGUUGGUGUAGCGAGUGAUGCAGCUGAGAGAAAGUACAGCGUCCCGUUUACACCACACAAUGAACUCUGGGUUCUCUGCUAUGAAAGAGAAACAGGGCUUUAUAUCGGAGACGAAACAGAACGCAUUUCAGUCCCAGACGUUAAUAAAGAGCUCACAGCAGUGGGAGUGUUUUUAGACUGUGAUAAACACACACUGUCAUUUUAUAAUAUUGAUACACAAUCACACAUCUACACUUUCACUAACGUGGAGCCCAAAACACCUCUGCGUCCUCUGAUCAGCCCCGGAGUCCGAGACAGUCAUCCUGUACGCAUUCUUUAGUAAAGUAAUCUUAUCUGUAUUUCUAUCAUUUGUGAUUAUGAAGUGUACGUAACACAUUCACAACAUCUUCCAUCUCUGAAUAGUGAAAUGAUUCCUCACAGCUGUAAAUACGCUCCUUUAGUACGGCUUACUGUAGUUAGAAAAUACAUUUUUAUGAUAUCGUUACUGAUAUGACAAUAAAGUGUGGACAUGUAAGUUUGCUGCUUUACUGUCGGUUUUCUGUUUUGCUUUGAACUUUGUGAAUGAUUUCAUUAAAAUGGAACAAAUUUUAUAUAUAUAUAUAAAAAAGAGACAUUGCUGUAAUUUCUUGUUUUGUGUGUAAAGUAAGUAGAAGAUGACUGUGGCAGGUUUAACACUUUUAUUAACACAAACUGCAGUAGUUCGUCAGAAUUCAUAUUAUACAUUUCUGUAUAAAGUAUCAUUUGGUUUUGAAAUUCUGAUAUUUAACAGAACUUUAAACACGCAGUAGAGAUGUAUAAUCUGCACUUUAAUCUAGUACAAUAACACAAAGGCCUAAAUAAUCAGAUAUGGCACAUACUAUUAGACUGUCUUGUGCUUCUUUAAUAAUAGAUGUAAUAUAUAAGGAAUAAACAGUGUGCGUUUGUACAGUAAAAUGAUGAAGCACUGUCACGAUUUCAAGGCAGAGACGGAUACCAGUGCAGAUUUACUUUUAAUUAAUAGCACAACAAAACAAGAACUAUAAACACGAUGCAAAACACUGAGGCAAAGACUAAACAUAAACCAAAGACCUUAAACACAGCAGCAUAGACAACGGCAAAGGAAAACAAACGUCAGAUACAGAGUGCAGUGUAAACUGUGCUAUACACAGGAGUGCUUGUUAACAAGAAUGUGAUUCAGGUGCAGGUGGUCACGUGACUGUGAUGCAGUGAGGUGCAGUGGCUGCUGGGAACUGUAGUUCAGAGUUCCUUCUCUAAUACAUGACACAGACUUACA
This is a long non-coding RNA of Ictalurus punctatus (channel catfish), 2713 nucleotides long. The record is from Ensembl. NCBI's taxonomy places the organism in Eukaryota, Metazoa, Chordata, Actinopteri, Siluriformes, Ictaluridae.